RNAcentral lists this ribosomal RNA (218 nucleotides) under uncultured Glomus. RNAcentral describes it as "partial 18S ribosomal RNA". It matches the Rfam family "Eukaryotic small subunit ribosomal RNA", at positions 569 to 790 of the family's 1831-position model. Lineage: Eukaryota; Fungi; Glomeromycota; Glomeromycetes; Glomerales; Glomeraceae. The record is from RNAcentral.
AGCAGCCGCGGUAAUUCCAGCUCCAAUAGCGUAUAUUAAAGUUGCUGCAGUUAAAAAGCUCGUAGUUGAAUUUCGGGACUAAUAUGUCGGUCAUGCCUCGGUACGUACUGGUAUUUUUGGUUUCUCCCUUCUGGCGAACCUUGAUGUCAUUAAUUUGGUGUCUUGGGAAAUCAGGACUGUUACUUUAGAAAAAUUGAGUUGUUUAAAGCAGGCUCACG